AAGCGGAGGAAAAGAAACCAACAGGGAUUGCCUCAGUAACGGCGAGUGAAGCGGCAACAGCUCAAAUUUGAAAUCUGGCCUCUUGGGGUCCGAGUUGUAAUUUGUAGAGGAUGUUUCGGGUACCGCCUCGGUUUAAAUUUCUUGGAACAGAAUGUCAAAGAGGGUGAGAAUCCCGUCUUGGACCGGCGGUAGGGCCUAUGUGAAACUCCUUCGACGAGUCGAGUUGUUUGGGAAUGCAGCUCAAAAUGGGUGGUAAAUUUCAUCUAAAGCUAAAUAUUGGCCAGAGACCGAUAGCGCACAAGUAGAGUGAUCGAAAGAUGAAAAGCACUUUGAAAAGAGAGUUAAACAGUAUGUGAAAUUGUUGAAAGGGAAGCGCUUGCAACCAGACUUGAGCGCGGCGGUUCCCCCUUGCUUCUGCUUGGGUUACUCCGCCGUGUCCAGGCCAACAUCGGUUCUGGGGGUCGGUCAAAGGCUCUGGGAAUGUAUCUACCCACGGGUAGACUUAUAGACCAGGGUGUCAUGCGACCUCCCGGGACCGAGGAACGCGCUUCGGCUCGGAUGUUGGCGUAAUGGUUGUCAGCGACCCGUCUU
RNAcentral lists this ribosomal RNA (591 nucleotides) under Fonsecaea pedrosoi. Its description in RNAcentral is "partial large subunit ribosomal RNA". It matches the Rfam family "Eukaryotic large subunit ribosomal RNA", at positions 48 to 655 of the family's 3401-position model. The record is from RNAcentral. Lineage: Eukaryota; Fungi; Ascomycota; Eurotiomycetes; Chaetothyriales; Herpotrichiellaceae.